Megalops atlanticus (tarpon) is the source of this 78-nucleotide non-coding RNA. Lineage: Eukaryota; Metazoa; Chordata; Actinopteri; Elopiformes; Megalopidae. The record is from the annotation of a GenBank genome assembly.
AGCAGUGUGAUGUAGUGGUAAGAAGCUGGGUUUAUAACCCAGAAGUUGACAGUUUGAUUCCCAGAUGGGCCACUGCUG